Molecule: ribosomal RNA, 285 nt
Filed under: uncultured bacterium
Lineage: Bacteria
Description: partial 16S ribosomal RNA
Rfam family: Bacterial small subunit ribosomal RNA
Source: RNAcentral
GACGAACGCUGGCGGCGUGCUUAACACAUGCAAGUCGAGCGGUAAGGCCCUUUCGGGGGUACACGAGCGGCGAACGGGUGAGUAACACGUGGGUGACCUGCCCUCAGCUCUGGGAUAAGCCUGGGAAACCGGGUCUAAUACCGGAUAUGACUCCAUGACGCAUGUUGUGGGGUGGAAAGCCUUGUGCGGCUGAGGAUGGGCCCGCGGCCUAUCAGCUUGUUGGUGGGGUGAUGGCCUACCAAGGCGACGACGGGUAGCCGGCCUGAGAGGGCGACCGGCCACACU